Molecule: ribosomal RNA, 367 nt
Filed under: Liturgusa maya
Lineage: Eukaryota; Metazoa; Arthropoda; Insecta; Mantodea; Liturgusidae
Description: partial 12S ribosomal RNA
Source: RNAcentral
ACCCUAUUAUUUUUAAUGUAAAAUUUUAUACAAAGGUAUUACUAGGUAAGAUCUUGAAACCUAAAGAAUUUGGCGGUAUUAUAGUCUAGUUAGAGGAAUCUGUUACUUAAUCGAUAGUCCACGUUGAACCUUACUUAUUUAAUUUCUUGUAUACCGCUGUUUAAGAAUAUAUUUUUAGAUUAUUUUCUAAAUUAAUUAUUUUUUAAAAAUUUCAAGUCAAGGUGCAGUGAUGUUUAAGUGUAUUAAUGGAUUACAAUAAAUUAUAUUUAUAUGGAUUAUUAUUUAAAUAUAAUUUGAAGGUGGAUUUAUAUGUAAAUUUUUGAAGAUUUUAGUUUUGAUUUUUAGCCCUAUAAUAUGUACACAUCGC